This is a non-coding RNA of Meleagris gallopavo (turkey), 1422 nucleotides long. The record is from RefSeq and is a predicted model, not a curated record. Lineage: Eukaryota; Metazoa; Chordata; Aves; Galliformes; Phasianidae.
GCUUUAUUUAAAACCUGGUCUUUGCUGUGUGAGCUGUAUUAUUAGUGUUUGUCUUCAGAAGUGGUGGUACUACAUCUAUAUCUCUUAAGGGUGAGGGCCUACCCCGAGGCAGGCUAGACUAGUUUACCUGUGGGCCUGUUUCAUCUCUGUUAGUUUGUCUGGUGAGUUGGACUCCUAGCUGACUUCUCCCCUGCAUUACUUGGGUAGCAUGGGCUUGAGCCUAUCAAGUUUGGUUUUUCAUCUUAUAGAGCUGAUAGUCUUUGUACUGUGACAAAAACUUUUUUUUUUCAUAGUGUUGUUAGUAUAUCACUGUUAUGUAGGAAUACAUGCUUUGGAGAUGUUCUUUAUGAAUAUGGGGGCUCUUCUUUAAGAACUUGACCUGUAAAAUUUCAUUUUUUAACUUAUUUGAGUCCUUAAUAAAUAGUAUUCAGUUGCUAUGUGUGUCUUUGACCACUUUUGAGUUCCUGAGUAGGCAGGUACCUGUAGUGGCAAUACUAAGUCAUGGCUUGAAGCAGUAAUUGAGCACCUGGUGGGAAGGCAGGACCAACCCAGAGGAGCUCAGGUGCAUGCAAUACAGUACACCUGAGUGACUGAAAGUGGUGGAGCAAGGAUCAACCCCUUCCCAGACCUCAUUUAAGGGUUGAAACAGUAGAGACAAGGAUGUCUUGCUGAAGAUUCAUGUGUACCUGAGGCCUUCUGAGGCCAUACAACUUCUACAACUUUAACACAGGACUUGCCCAUGCGUAGAGCUUUGUACCUCAUUUAUGGAGGUUGUUAGGCCUGCUUCUGUGAAGAUUAACCUGAUGCAUCAAUGCCUUAAAGAGAAAAAAUCUCAAGAGAAGUCUCUGAAAAUCCUUGGAGACCCAAUCCAACUGACUGCUGGUGUGAAGCCCAGUGGACUGGGCAUGAGUGGAAUGUGGUUGUGUUACUGCUCACACUGCACCAUCUUUGGCUUUGUUUCUGUUUGUGCUUUUAGGACUUGCAUUAGGACAGGGAGAAAUAAAACAGCAGAAGUGAUCUAUGAGAAUCAUAUUUAUAUUGGACUGUGGCUGUGUAUACAAUUUAGAUGUGCUGAGAAUAAUUUAUUUUAAGUUAUCUCUAUUAUAAAUGCUUAAGUUGAGUAUUUGCUAAAUUAAAGUAACUAUGUAUAGUAGUUAUGUAUAACAACAUAUUAGUUAUUCUUAGCAUUACCAAAAAGAAAAAAAGAAAGAGGGGGAAAAACAGAUAUUGAUUUGUUUUAAAUAAAGGAUCUGUCUUCAUGAGAUAAAUGAGCAGACUCUCAAAUAUGUCCUACUGCUAUCAUAUUCUACCAGUACUUGCUUUUAUAGUAGGUUAUCUAGCAUGUACCAUGAAUAACCUAAAAUAACUACUUUUUCCUUUAUGCAAUAAGAGUAAUAUAUUUGGAAAACAAUAAAAAAACUG